CGAACGCGAACCCCAGGUCAGGCGGGAUUACCCGCUGAGUU
Molecule: ribosomal RNA, 41 nt
Filed under: Clinopodium gilliesii
Lineage: Eukaryota; Viridiplantae; Streptophyta; Magnoliopsida; Lamiales; Lamiaceae
Description: partial 28S ribosomal RNA
Source: RNAcentral